Molecule: long non-coding RNA, 1062 nt
Filed under: Marmota monax (woodchuck)
Lineage: Eukaryota; Metazoa; Chordata; Mammalia; Rodentia; Sciuridae
Source: RNAcentral
UCUUGUAUUUUAUUUAGAAACAGGGUCUUAUUGAGUUGCUUAGUACUUUCUUUUGCUGAGGCUGGCUUUCAACUCAUAAUCCUCCUGUCUCAGCCUUACAAGCUUUUGGGAUUAGAGGCAUGUGCCACCACACCUGACUGCUAACUUAUAUUUGACAAGUUAUUGUCUGUAAGAUUGUUGAAAGGAUUGUCAAUGACAAUUCUUCUUUUUUACAAAUUCUUACAUAACAGGCAUUACUGGGUUACUACUAGGCAUGGUUUAAUUUUCUUUAUUUGCUUUUAGUUCUGACUUCCAAUACAUUGUUCUCAUGAAUUCACCUAUUCUCCCCUCCCAUAUGAUAUUUUUUUUCACAAAAUAGAAACAUAGAAUUUCUUUCCUUCCUCCCACGAUGAAGAUAUUUUUGAUGAUUUCCUAUUGAUGGGACAGAAACCGAGAUCCAUACACUGAACAAAGGAGAGAGGUGGUGAAAAUUAAAACUGGAUACAAAAUACAUCUUUCUUUCAGAGAUUGAGUAGAGAUACUGAACUGGAUUUCUUCAGGUAUGCUCAGAUUCCCACUUUCCUACUAUACCUAGACAUUGCUCUUCUUCUCUUCACCUUUUCAGUGUGAGAGAGAGAGACUGUAGAAGAAGAGUUACAAGACAAAUUACUUGACUCAGAAUGAACAUUUUCCUCAAGUACCAAUGCUUUGUCCUCCAAAGAGAACACAGAAUGUGAAUAAUACAUGUAUAAGAUUGAAGCUACAAAGAAGGUAGAACAAAUAUCAUGGUGCUGGAGUAAGAGUUAAUUCAUUUAUUCAAAUAAAAUUUUUUUCUGAAUAUUAUGUGCCAAGCUCUAAAAAUGGAUACUUUGCAUAACUUUGUAGAAAUUGCAUAUUCUGCCAAAAAACUACAUGAAAAUUAUAUUUUCAUUGCAUAUUGGGGUUUGAACUAGACUUCCAUCAUUUGAAUUGGCUUUCAUGCCAUCCAGUAAUCUCUAUUUCUGAUGUUUCAUAGUUUAUAAAGUAGAAAAAUAGUUUGCUUUGAUAAUUUUUGUAACUUUUGCUUUGUAAAAACCUCCUAAU